Molecule: ribosomal RNA, 757 nt
Filed under: uncultured Planctomycetota bacterium
Lineage: Bacteria; Pseudomonadati; Planctomycetota
Description: bacterial SSU rRNA
Rfam family: Bacterial small subunit ribosomal RNA
Source: RNAcentral
AGGGGUUUGAUCAUGGCUCAGAAUGAACGUUGGCGGCGUGGAUUAGGCAUGCAAGUCGCGCGAGAUCCUAUUAAUUGAAGCUUCGGCGGAUGUUUUUAGGUGAGAGCGGCGCAAGGGAGAGUAACGCGUGGAUACCUGCCCCGGGAUCCGGGAUAGCGAGGCCGCAAGGCUACCGAAAGGCUCGGUAAUACCGGAUAAUGUCUCUGGACCAAAGGUGUGAUUCCGUCUUGGGAUGGGUCCGCGUCCUAUUAGCUUGUUGGUGGGGUAAUGGCCUACCAAGGCAAAGAUGGGUACCGGGUGUGAGAGCAUGGCCCGGCUCACUGGGACUGAGACACUGCCCAGACACCUACGGGUGGCUGCAGUCGAGAAUCUUCCGCAAUGGACGAAAGUCUGACGGAGCGACGCCGCGUGCGGGAUGAAGGCCUUCGGGUUGUAAACCGCUGUCAGUUGGGAGGAAAUGCAUGGGGGCUAUCCCCUGUGUUUGACCGAUCUUCAGAGGAAGUACGGGCUAAGUACGUGCCAGCAGCCGCGGUAACACGUACCGUACGAACGUUAUUCGGAAUCACUGGGCUUAAAGAGUCCGUAGGCGGCCAUGUAGGUGAGGUGUGAAAUCCCACGGCUCAACCGUGGAACUGCGCUUCAAACCAUGUGGCUCGAGGGAGAUAGAGAAAGCGGAACUGAUGGUGGAGCGUGAAAUGCGUUGAUAUCAUCAGGAACACGGUGGCGAAAGCGGUUUCUGGGUCUCUUCUGACGCUGA